AUACGUAGGAGGCGAGCGUUGUCCGGAAUGACUGGGCGUAAAGGGCGUGUAGGCGGCUGUCUAAGUCUGGAGUGAAAGUCCUGCUUUCAAGGUGGGAAUUGCUUUGGAGACUGGAUGGCUUGAGUGCGGAAGAGGUAAGUGGAAUUCCCAGUGUAGCGGUGAAAUGCGUAGAGAUUGGGAGGAACACCAGUGGCGAAGGCGACUUACUGGGCCGUAACUGACGCCGAGGCGCGAAAGCGUGGGGAGCGAACAGGAUUAGAUACCCUGGUAGUCCACGCGGUAAACGAUGAAUGCCAGGUGUUGCGGGUAUCGACCCCUGCAGUGCCGGAGUAAACACAAUAAGCAUUCCGCCUGGGGAGUACGGCCGCAAGGUUGAAACUCAAAUGAAUUGACGGGG
RNAcentral lists this ribosomal RNA (397 nucleotides) under uncultured bacterium. RNAcentral describes it as "partial 16S ribosomal RNA". It matches the Rfam family "Bacterial small subunit ribosomal RNA", at positions 523 to 918 of the family's 1533-position model. The record is from RNAcentral.